UACGUAGGGCGCAAGCGUUAUCCGGAAUUAUUGGGCGUAAAGAGCUCGUAGGCGGUUUGUCGCGUCUGCCGUGAAAGUCCGGGGCUCAACUCCGGAUCUGCGGUGGGUACGGGCAGACUAGAGUGAUGUAGGGGAGACUGGAAUUCCUGGUGUAGCGGUGGAAUGCGCAGAUAUCAGGAAGAACACCCGUGGCGAAGGCGGCUCUCUGGGACGGUACUGACGCUGAGACGCGAAAGCGUGGGGAGCGAACAGG
RNAcentral lists this ribosomal RNA (253 nucleotides) under uncultured bacterium. RNAcentral's name for it is "partial 16S ribosomal RNA". It matches the Rfam family "Bacterial small subunit ribosomal RNA", at positions 524 to 776 of the family's 1533-position model. The record is from RNAcentral.